AGUGAACGCUGGCGGUAGGCCUAACACAUGCAAGUCGAACGGCAGCACAGUAAGAGCUUGCUCUUACGGGUGGCGAGUGGCGGACGGGUGAGGAAUACAUCGGAAUCUACUUUUUCGUGGGGGAUAACGUAGGGAAACUUACGCUAAUACCGCAUACGACCUACGGGUGAAAGCAGUGGAUCUUCGGACCUUGCGCGAUUGAAUGAGCCGAUGUCGGAUUAGCUAGUUGGCAGGGUAAAGGCCCACCAAGGCGACGAUCCGUAGCUGGUCUGAGAGGAUGAUCAGCCACACUGGAACUGAGACACGGUCCAGACUCCUACGGGAGGCAGCAGUGGGGAAUAUUGGACAAUGGGCGCAAGCCUGAUCCAGCCAUACCGCGUGGGUGAAGAAGGCCUUCGGGUCGUAAAGCCCUUUUGUUGGGAAAGAAAAGCAGCAGGUUAAUACCCCGCUGUUCUGACGGUACCCAAUGAAUAAGCACCGGCUAACUUCGUG
RNAcentral lists this ribosomal RNA (492 nucleotides) under uncultured bacterium. Its description in RNAcentral is "partial 16S ribosomal RNA". It matches the Rfam family "Bacterial small subunit ribosomal RNA", at positions 29 to 507 of the family's 1533-position model. The record is from RNAcentral.